AAAAUAUCUCUGCUCAGAUGGCAGCUGCCAGGGACACCUCCAAGAGGAGCCUGGACAUUGCAGGAGAAGGAACUUCAGUCUAGGACUCCCUCUUCUUGCUUUAGAUCAAGGGAAGAGGAAGCAAAGUGACUCACAACAAGCAGAAGCACUGGAAGAAAACCAAGAUUUCUUUUCCAUCCAGUUAACAUUCAGUGCUGUAGGCUGCAUGACAUCUUUGAGCUAACGUUACUCAUUUCUUAAGAAACCAGAAGGAAAAAGUGAUGGGAAGCAAGAAGAAAGAAUGGCUAAAAUAAAUAAGUUGAGCUGACACUGUAUCUGCUUUCA
RNAcentral lists this long non-coding RNA (324 nucleotides) under Coturnix japonica (Japanese quail). Its description in RNAcentral is "lncRNA (ENSCJPG00005005341.1)". Lineage: Eukaryota; Metazoa; Chordata; Aves; Galliformes; Phasianidae. The record is from RNAcentral.